AAUUCAACUAGACAGGAAGGUCAAAGGCGAAUUGUGCUGCCCGCGGCCUUACAGGCUGGCAGAGGGUGAUGCAACGGGGGUCAGGAGGGACGGGCGAGGGCCGGGGGUGGGGGGUGCGUGCGGCGGCGUGAUCACUGGAGGCUAGCGGGGGUGUCGGACCUACAGAUUCGCGCCGAGGCUACGCGGGUGGCCGGCAGCGGGAGACAAGGGCAGGCGACCGCUGGGCCCGGUGCUGCCCGCGCCACCAGCGCAUUCCUGGCAGUAGGCGUCACGAGCGCCGCGGUUGCUUGCGCUCACGUUACAAUUCCUCCAAGCGCUGAAUACACACGUAACUGCGUCGCUUCAGGGAUUUUCUCCCACCUCCCACUACUACCGCUGCGCUCCCAGCCUCUCCGACAACCAUCAGGUUAGAUCCCGGAGGGGCGCCCGUCGCGAGCCAGAAUGCACCUCUGUAAAAGACAACAAAAUAAGAACCAGCCAAGGAAAGCAAAUAAGUUUCGUGACUUCUUUUGAACGUGUGAGGACCAUUUGACUUGUCCACAUCCCAGAAGGCGGAACUACCUCUGCAAGUCCAAGAAAGCUGGUACUGACAAUGUUGUAGCUGAACCGGAUACCCCCCAAUAGUCUCCAGCCUCGAGGAAGCAGCUCUACCUCUAUCUUGGAUAAAAUGAAUUUUAAGAGAUCACCUUGAGUGUUUGUAAAUAGACAGACUUUGCCACUGUGUAUUUUUUUAAUGUUUAUUUACUUUUGAGAGAGACAGAGAGAGAGAGAGAGAGAGGGAGAGAGAGAGGGAGAGAGAGAGACAGAGACAUGAACAGAGGAGGGGCAGAGAGAGAGGGAGACACAGAAUCUGAAGCAGACUCUGAAGCAGACACAGAAUGCUUCAGAUUCUGUGUCUCCCUCCGAGCUGUCAGCACAAAGCCCGACGAGGGGCUUGCACUCACGGACUGCGAAAUCAUGACCUGAGCCAAAGUCGGAUGCUUAACCAACUGAGCCACCCAAUCGCCCUGCCAUUGGUUGGUUUAAAAUUACUCAUUUGGUUUACAUUAUGUGAAUAUUCAUUCCACAUAGUUUUAUGGUAAUUAGAGCUAUACCAGGGCCAGAACUUCCUUCUUGCAACCCAAUAAAGUGAUUUUUUUUAGAGUUACAUGCCGCGAUUUCCAAACAGUCAAGCACUCUAGACAGACCAGCACUACAGCUAUUCUGAAGACUCCCUUGGAAAUCUGUGGCAUAUUUUAUUCAUUUCUGUGCACUUUUAAUAGAUAUGGAAAGUGUCUUAGUCAGCUUGGGCUGCCAUAACAAAAUACCACAGACUACAUGACUUACACAACAGAAAUUUAUUUUCUCGUAGUUCUGGAGACUGGAAAGUCUAAGGUUAAGAUCCAAUGGAGUUCUGUUUCUGGUGAAGCCUUUCUUCCUAGUCUGUAGAUAGCUGUCUUCCUUCUGUAUCCUCACACGGCCUUUCAUCUGGGUGCACAAGGAGACAGAGACAGAGAGACAGAGAAAGACAUCUCUUCCUCUUCUUAUAAGGCUAUCAGUCUCAGCUGAUUAAGGCUCCACCCUAAUGAUGUCAUUUAAUGUCAUUACUUCCAUAAGAUCCUAUCUCCAAAUACAGUCACAUGGAGUUAGGGCUUCAACAUAUUCAUUUCGGGGGCAUAAUUUAGUCCAUAGCCAACCAUAAAUAUGGAGAUUUACUGGCAUUGUCUUGA
This is a long non-coding RNA of Panthera uncia (snow leopard), 1709 nucleotides long. RefSeq lists it as uncharacterized. NCBI's taxonomy places the organism in Eukaryota, Metazoa, Chordata, Mammalia, Carnivora, Felidae. The record is from RefSeq and is a predicted model, not a curated record. The transcript is spliced from 3 exons.